UAAGGUGAAACCGCGAAAGGCUCAUUAAAUCAGUUAUGGUUCCUUAGAUCGUACCCACAAUUACUUGGAUAACUGUGGUAAUUCUAGAGCUAAUACAUGCAAACAGAGCUCCGACCGGAGACGGAAGGAGUGCUUUUAUUAGAUCAAAACCAAUCGGUGGCGGGUUCGCCCGUUAUCGUACAACUUGGUGACUCUGAAUAACUUUACGCUGAUCGCACGGUCAUCGCACCGGCGACGCAUCUUUCAAAUGUCUGCCUUAUCAACUGUCGAUGGUAGGUUCUGCGCCUACCAUGGUUGUAACGGGUAACGGGGAAUCAGGGUUCGAUUCCGGAGAGGGAGCCUGAGAAACGGCUACCACAUCCAAGGAAGGCAGCAGGCGCGCAAAUUACCCACUCCCGGCACGGGGAGGUAGUGACGAAAAAUAACGAUACGGGACUCAUCCGAGGCCCCGUAAUCGGAAUGAGUACACUCUAAACCCUUUAACGAGGAUCA
This 492-nucleotide ribosomal RNA is filed under the name Trigonopterus sp. 603 AR-2022a. RNAcentral's name for it is "SSU rRNA". It matches the Rfam family "Eukaryotic small subunit ribosomal RNA", at positions 77 to 546 of the family's 1831-position model. The record is from RNAcentral. Lineage: Eukaryota; Metazoa; Arthropoda; Insecta; Coleoptera; Curculionidae.